RNAcentral lists this long non-coding RNA (258 nucleotides) under Gossypium raimondii (Peruvian cotton). Its description in RNAcentral is "long non-coding RNA (GRAI_LNC000717)". The record is from RNAcentral. Lineage: Eukaryota; Viridiplantae; Streptophyta; Magnoliopsida; Malvales; Malvaceae.
UUUUGUAUUUAGUUUAUUAUUGUAUUGAAGUAUAAAAAAUUUUGAAAUUACACAAAAAAUUGAAAAAAAAUUCGAAAAAAAAGAAAUUUGAAAAAAAGAAGUGAAGUUUAGAAAGUCUUGCAAGUUCUUAAUUAUUAUUAUUUUUUUCAUUCUCUUCUAAUAAUCCUGAUCAUCCAUUCAUUCUACCAUCUCUUCUACCACCCCAAAAUACCACAUAUAUCUUGAUUUUAAUUUUUCUUUGUCCAGCCUUCCCUGCCC